AAUGAACGCUGGCGGCAGGCCUAACACAUGCAAGUCGAGCGCGAUCCAUCCUUCGGGAUGAGGAAAGCGGCGGACGGGUGAGUAACGCGUGGGAAUAUGCCUCGGGGUAUGGAAUAGGCAUUAGAAAUGAUGAUUAAUACCAUAUACGACCUAAGGGUGAAAGAUUUAUCGCCCCGAGAUUAGCCCGCGUUAGAUUAGAUAGUUGGUGGGGUAAUGGCCUACCAAGUCUACGAUCUAUAGCUGGUUUGAGAGGAUGAUCAGCCACACUGGGACUGAGACACGGCCCAGACUCCUACGGGAGGCAGCAGUGAGGAAUAUUGGACAAUGGGGGCAACCCUGAUCCAGCCAUGCCGCGUGAGUGAAGAAGGCCUUCGGGUUGUAAAGCUCUUUCAGUUGUGAUGAUGAUGACAGUAGCAACAAAAGAAGCCCCGGCUAACUUCG
Molecule: ribosomal RNA, 441 nt
Filed under: uncultured Alphaproteobacteria bacterium
Lineage: Bacteria; Pseudomonadati; Pseudomonadota; Alphaproteobacteria
Description: bacterial SSU rRNA
Rfam family: Bacterial small subunit ribosomal RNA
Source: RNAcentral